CUUGUGAAUGAGUGAUCCUGGUGCACACACAUGCACACACACUCACCUGGCCCCUAUAUUUCAAAGCCUUCUUCAAAGCCAGACAAAGCCAGACAAUGAAGGGCAUCAUGCCUCAAACACUGUCCCCUAAUUUCCUGAUUCCUAGGUUUUCCAAAUCAGGCUGCCAUACUUGUAUCUUGGUGAUUUUUAGAUAUCUCACAAUACUAAGUAACAGUAAAGAGUGGGAGUCAGUAGAAUGAACCAUGGGGAAUGACUUGGGGGAAACACCCCUGUCUGCUGUGUAUACAAUUAGAAUUGACCAGGGAGAGACAAAGAGGGGUGGCAGGGCAGUAUGAGAAGGCUCUUUAGCAGUUAUCUUUUCCAGCUAGAGCAUUUUGGCCUACCUAGCAUCCCCACCCCUCCAGAGUGGUCCUUUGUGAUGUCUAAGCUCCCCUUAACCACCAUUGGCUGCAGUGAGUGCCCUGCUGACUAAACAGAGCAGAAGGGGUGUGACUCCCCAUUGUUCUGGGAGAGGUAUAUAUACAGAGGACAAACUCCUGGGGUUAGACAACUGAGAGGCUGCAAGAUGGCAAAAGUGGUGAAGAAAUCAUGGAAACCACAAACCACAAGCACCAAGCGGUGGAAGAAGAGGAAGACCACCUCUCAACCCAGAUCAAGAGGCAUUAGCAAGGUGCUAAAGACAUACAAGAAGAUGAAAAGAUCACUUCACAUGAGUUUAAGAAAAAAAUACUCUCCUAAAGUUAUAACUACUUCAAGAAGAAAGAAGAGAGCAAGGAGGGCCAAUUAAUUUCACCCAUAGACUGAGCCAAAAGCAGCCAGGCCAGACCCAACGGACUCUAUAGAACUACACCAUUCCAAGACAAGACUGGUGCAAACACUACAUACAGAGCAAGCUUCAGAGACCUCAGAUGGUCUGCCUCUAGAGUCCUGGCUGCGGAGAAGUGGCCAACUGCGUAGAGACUGAUACAGAUGCUAAUAUGAAACAUGGAACACAAAUGGAGGUGAUUAAAAUAAAACCAAUAGGGUGUAAGAAGCCCCUCCAAAAAAUAAAAUCAGGCAUUCUGCAUAGAAAUGAA
Molecule: long non-coding RNA, 1076 nt
Organism: Neofelis nebulosa (Clouded leopard)
Lineage: Eukaryota; Metazoa; Chordata; Mammalia; Carnivora; Felidae
Exons: 2
Source: RefSeq, a predicted model, not a curated record